GAGGCGAUGAAGGACGUGAUAAGCUGCGAUAAGCUUCGGGUAGGUGCAAAUAACCCUUGAUCCGGAGAUUUCCGAAUGGGACAACCUAGCCGUCUGAAGGACGGUUACUAGCACUUAAGUGUUAGAGCUAACGCAGGGAACUGAAACAUCUUAGUACCUGUAGGAAGAGAAAAUAAAUGAAUGAUUCCCCCAGUAGUGGCGAGCGAACGGGGAACAGCCCAAACCGUUGACGUCGCAAGGCGCCAGCGGGGUUGUAGGACCGCGACAUUGUAUGCAAAUCGUGAACAGAACACUUUGGAAAAUGUGACCAUAGACGGUGAUAGUCCAGUAUGUGAAGCGAAAUGCAGCAUAGCGGUAUCCUGAGUAACGCGGGACACGAGGAAUCCUGCGCGAAUCUGCCGGGACCAUCCGGUAAGGCUAAAUACUCCCGUGAGACCGAUAGCGAACGAGUACUGUGAAGGAAAGGUGAAAAGAACCCCGAGCAGGGGAGUGAAAUAGUUCCUGAAACCAUACGCCUACAAGCGGUCGGAGCAUCUUACGAUGUGACGGCGUGCCUUUUGCAUAAUGAUCCUACGAGUUACCGUCACUGGCGAGGUUGAGUGUCAUGAGACACGUAGCCGCAGUGAAAGCGAGCCUGAACAGGGCGCAUAGUCAGUGGGGGUAGACGCGAAACCAAGUGAUCUACACUUGGCCAGGAUGAAGUCCCGGUAACACGGGAUGGAGGUCCGCACCAAUAAGCGUUGAAAAGCUUCUGGAUGAGCCGAGUGUAGGAGUGAAAGGCCAAUCAAACUUGGAGAUAGCUCGUACUCCCCGAAAGGCAUUUAGGUGCCGCGUCGGAUGGUCACCGUGAGAGGUAGAGCGACCGAUAGGACAAGAGGGCUUCACCGCCUAUCGAGUCCUGACGAACUCCGAAUGCUCACGGUCUGCAGUCCGGCAGUAAGGGGGCGGGUGCUAAGGUCCGUCCCCGAGAGGAGAAGAAUCCAGACCGCCGUCUAAGGUCCCGGAGUUCUGCCUGAGUUAGUCUAACGAAGUCUGGUCCCUAUGACAGCUAGGAUGUUGGCUUGGAAGCAGCCAUUCAUUCAAAGAGUGCGUAACAGCUCACUAGUCGAGGGUCCGGGCAUGGAUAAUAAUCGGGUAUAAGGCAGACACCGAAGGCGCGGGAUAGCAUUUAAGAAAGUAUCGGUAGGGGAGCAUACUCACAGCGUGGAAUGGUGUACGUAAGUUAUCCUGGAGCGGUGAGUAAAGCAAAUGUAGGAAUAAGUAACGAUAAGGAGGGUUAGAUUCCCUCCCGCUGUAAGACCAAGGUUUCCCGGGCAAUGCCAAUCAGCCCGGGGUCAGUCGGGUCCUAAGUCUAAGCCGAACGGCGAUGGCGAUGGCAGAGACGGUUAAUAUUCCGUCACUGCCGCAUGGGGCGACGUGGAGACGGAGCAGUGAAACCACCGCGGGGCGACGGAAGUCCCCGUUGAAGAGUGUAGGUGUUGAGGAUGGCAGGCAAAUCCACCGUCCGAGCUGAACUUGAUAGUAUGGAGUCUUCUUCGGAAGAAUCCAAUAGUGUGGGUAAUCAUACUCCCGAGAAAAUCCGCUAAGCUUAACCCAUGCGGCACCCGUACCGCAAACGGACACACGUGGUCGGGUAGAACAUACUAAGGCGUUGAGAGAUUCAUGGUUAAGGAACUAGGCAAAUUGACCCUGUAACUUCGGGAUAAAGGGUCCUCGUGAUGAGCGAGGCGCAGAGAAUAGGUCCAGGCAACUGUUUAACAAAAACACAGGGCUGUGCAAACUCGAAAGAUGACGUAUACAGCCUGACACCUGCCCGGUGCCGGAAGGUUAAGAGGAGAUGUCACUCGCAAGAGGAAGCAUUGAAUUGAAGCCCCGGUAAACGGCGGCCGUAACUAUAACGGUCCUAAGGUAGCGAAAUUCCUUGUCGGGU
RNAcentral lists this ribosomal RNA (1930 nucleotides) under human gut metagenome. Its description in RNAcentral is "bacterial LSU rRNA". It matches the Rfam family "Bacterial large subunit ribosomal RNA", at positions 43 to 1977 of the family's 2925-position model. The record is from RNAcentral.